Molecule: ribosomal RNA, 578 nt
Filed under: uncultured bacterium
Lineage: Bacteria
Description: bacterial SSU rRNA
Rfam family: Bacterial small subunit ribosomal RNA
Source: RNAcentral
CCUACGGGAGGCAGCAGUAAGGAAUAUUGGUCAAUGGACGAAAGUCUGAACCAGCCAUGCCGCGUGAAGGAUGAAGGCCCUCUGGGUUGUAAACUUCUUUUAUCUGGGACGAAAAAAGCUCAUUCUUGAGCACUUGACGGUACCAGAGGAAUAAGCACCGGCUAACUCCGUGCCAGCAGCCGCGGUAAUACGGAGGGUGCAAGCGUUAUCCGGAUUCACUGGGUUUAAAGGGUGCGUAGGUGGGUCUGUAAGUCAGUGGUGAAAUCUCCGAGCUUAACUCGGAAACUGCCAUUGAUACUAUAGGUCUUGAAUCAUCUGGAGGUAAGCGGAAUAUGUCAUGUAGCGGUGAAAUGCUUAGAUAUGACAUAGAACACCAAUUGCGAAGGCAGCUUACUACGGGUGUAUUGACACUGAGGCACGAAAGCGUGGGGAUCAAACAGGAUUAGAUACCCUGGUAGUCCACGCCCUAAACGAUGGAUACUCGACAUCAGCGAUACACUGUUGGUGUCUGAGCGAAAGCAUUAAGUAUCCCACCUGGGAAGUACGACCGCAAGGUUGAAACUCAAAGGAAUUGACGG